Molecule: non-coding RNA, 192 nt
Organism: Vicia faba (fava bean)
Lineage: Eukaryota; Viridiplantae; Streptophyta; Magnoliopsida; Fabales; Fabaceae
Source: the annotation of a GenBank genome assembly
AUGCAUUCUUGUUUACCAAGUCACAUUUGGAGAAGAUUAUUCACAGUAAGUAACUUCUCAUUUUGUAUGGAUUUAUUGAAGUCUUGCACUCAUGUCCAUCAAUCCACAACUCAUAACCCAAUUAAAACUUUAUCCAGACACACAUUAACACAUAGAACAUAUUUUUACUUAUCUAUAUAUAUUUUAAAGUAA